Long non-coding RNA from Tachyglossus aculeatus (Australian echidna), 364 nucleotides. RefSeq lists it as uncharacterized. The transcript has 3 exons. NCBI's taxonomy places the organism in Eukaryota, Metazoa, Chordata, Mammalia, Monotremata, Tachyglossidae. The record is from RefSeq and is a predicted model, not a curated record.
UGAAAAAUCAUACGAAGUCCCAGGGAGGUUGAAAUACCUGAAUUUGAAAAAUCAUACGAAGUUCCAGGGAGGUUGAAAUCACCUUGAAGCAGACCUGUAAAAGAGGUUUGAGGACUGAAUAAUUGCUUCCAGUUCAGGCUACCAGAAAUGCAAACGUCUAUUUGUAUGAGGAGGUACAUCCCAGAGUUAGCGUCACGCAUCUUGGAAAGAAUUUUCUUAUGCCAAGGAUUCAAAAGGGCCACAUUUUCACCCCACAAACUUGGAAAUAUACCUAAAAACUAACAGAAAUUAGCAGAAUCUAAUCAUGAUCAUCUUGUGAUCGUUUCCGUCAGAGAAGCCGCGUGGCCUAGUGGAUAGAGCGUGG